RNAcentral lists this ribosomal RNA (274 nucleotides) under uncultured bacterium. Its description in RNAcentral is "partial 16S ribosomal RNA". It matches the Rfam family "Bacterial small subunit ribosomal RNA", at positions 523 to 796 of the family's 1533-position model. The record is from RNAcentral.
AUGCAGAGGGUGCGAGCGUUAAUCGGAAUUACUGGGCGUAAAGCGCGCGUAGGCGGCUUAUUAAGUCAGAUGUGAAAUCCCCGGGCUCAACCUGGGAACUGCAUCUGAUACUGGUAAGCUAGAGUUUUGGAGAGGGAAGUAGAAUUUCAGGUGUCGCGGUGAAAUGCAUAGAGAGCUGAAGGAAUACCAGUGGCGAAGGCGACUUCCUGGCCAAAAACUGACGCUGAGGUGCGAAAGCAUGGGUAGCAAACGGGAUUAGAAACCCCAGUAGUCC